Molecule: ribosomal RNA, 468 nt
Filed under: uncultured bacterium
Lineage: Bacteria
Description: partial 16S ribosomal RNA
Rfam family: Bacterial small subunit ribosomal RNA
Source: RNAcentral
GAUGAACACUGGCGGCGUGCUUAACACAUGCAAGUCGAACGGAAACGCCCUGCUUUUGUGGGGUUCUCGAGUGGCGAACGGGUGCGUAAGACGUGAGUAACCUGCCCUUCUCUUUGGGAUAACUUCAGGAAACUGGGGCUAAUACCGGAUAGGAGCUCCUGCUCCAUGGAGGGCGUUGGAAAGUUGCGGCGGUUGGGGAUGGACUCGCGGCUUAUGCGUUUGUUAGUGGGGUAGUGGCUUACCAAGGCUUUGACGGGUACGCGACCUGAGAGGGUGACCGGGCACAAGGCGACUGAGAUACGGGACAGAGUGGUACGGGAGACAGGGGUAGGGAAUAGUGCCCAAUGGGAGGAAGUCGGGUGCAGAAACGCCGCGUUCGGGAUGACGGCCUGCGGGUAAAAAAAAGCUUACGCCUAUGACGAAGCGUUAGUGACGGUAACGGAUGAAUAAGCACCGGCUAACUACGUG